UUUAAUUACUGUUCUGAGAGAAAUCAUUAUGGAGUAUUUAGACCAUGGCGUUUUUGCAAGAAAUUAUAAGCCCAUAUAAUUCUCCAUUAUGGCCUGUAUUAUGGGGAAAGCUCUCAUGCCCUUUCUAGGAAGUCAGCACGCUGGGGUGCCUCUCUGAAGUGCCUGUACACUAAUGCACACAGCAUAGGGAACAAACAGGAGGCAUUAGAAGUCUGUGUGCAGUUGCAGGGCUAUGAUCUCAUUGGGACCACGGAGAUGUGGUGGGAUAGCUCACACGACUGGAAUGCUGUGAUGGAUAGCUACAGGCUCUUGAGGAAGGACAGGCCGGGAAGGCGAGGAAGGAGAAUUGCAAACUUACUGGUAGGCAUGGAGUCAGUUUGGCUAGAGAGAGGAAGCGCAGAGGUGCAGUUGGAUUUGGGGACACAGAGCGAAUAGGCUUCCCAUCACUUGCUCUCUGGCUUUCUUUCUCCCUGUGCCCCCUAUCUGGCUCACUUGCUUUCUGUGCCCCAUCACUCUCUUGCUCACAUGCUCUUUGUUCCCUCGUUUGCUUGCUCACUCUCUGUGCCCACAUGCUUUCUGUGCCCCCUCGCCCACUUGCUUUCUUCACUCACUUUCUGUGCUCCCUCACUAUUUGUGCCCCCUCUCUGACUCACUUGCUCUCUGGCUCACUCUCUUUGCCCCAUUGCCCACCCAGUCCCUCUCUGUCCCCCCCUCACCCGCUUGCUCUCUUCGCUCACUCUCUGUGCCCUCUUGCUUGCUCGCUCUCUUCGCACGCUCUGUGUGCCCUUUUACCCCCUUCCUCUAUUCGCUCGCUUUCUCUGCCCCCUUCCUCCCUUACUCUCUGUGCCCCCUCGCUCACUCGCUCUCUGUCUCGCUUGCUCUCUGUGCCUCCUCUUUGACUCACUCGCUCUCUGGCUCACUCUCUGUGCCCCCUCAUUCACUUGCUCACUCUCUUCGCUCGCUUUCUGUGCCCCCCUCGCUCACUUGCUUUCUGUGCCCCCUUGCUCUCUCACUUGAUCUCUGGAUAUCUCACUCUGUGCCUGCCCACUCCCUCGCUCUCAGUACCCAGUCUCUGGCUCGCUCUCUGUGCCUGCUCUCUUGCUCUCUGUGCCUACUCUCUGUCUCUCUCUCUGUGCCCACUCUCUUGCUCUCUGUGUUCCCUCUCUGGCUUGCUCUCUUUGCUUGCUCUCUUGCUCACUCUCUGUGCCCGUUGGCUCUCUCUGUGCAACUGCUCUUGCACUGUGUGCUCUCUCGCUCGCUCUGUGCCCCCACUCUCAUGCUCACUUUGUGCCCCUGCUCUCUUGCUCUCUCUGUGUGGCCGCUCGCUCUCUGUGCCCGCUCUCUGUGCCUGCUCUCCUGCUCGCUCGCUCUCUGUGCCCCCUCUCUCACUUGCUUGCUCUCUGUGCCUGCUCGCUUGCUCACUCUCUGUGCUCCCUCUCUUUGCCCGCUGGCAUUCUCUCUGUGACCCCUUGCUCUCUCUCUCCCUCUUUCUCUGUGCCCCCCUCACUCGCUCGCUGUGCUUCCUCUCUUUCUCCCUCUCUGUGCCCUCCUUGCUCUCUCGCUUUCUCUGUGCUCCCUCUCUGUGCCCGCUCGCUUGCUAGCUCACGCUCUG
Molecule: long non-coding RNA, 1612 nt
Organism: Struthio camelus australis
Lineage: Eukaryota; Metazoa; Chordata; Aves; Struthioniformes; Struthionidae
Source: Ensembl